CCCCUAGAUGUUCUGGGCCGCACGCGCGCUACACUGAACAGUUCAACAAGUCUUAACCUUGGCCGAUAGGUCUGGGUAAUCUUUGAACGCUGUUCGUGAUUGGGAUAGACCUUUGCAAUUAUGGGUCUUCAACGAGGAAUUCCUAGUAAACGCAAGUCAUCAGCUUGCAUUGAUUACGUCCCUGCCCUUUGUACACACCGCCCGUCGCACCUACCGAUUGAAUGGUCCGGUGAAAUCUUCGGAUCUGAGAGAUGUCUGAUUAAUUUCGGACGCCUUUUGGAAAAGUUGCUUAAACCUUGCCAUUUAGAGGAAGGUGAAGUCGUANCA
Molecule: ribosomal RNA, 327 nt
Filed under: uncultured eukaryote
Lineage: Eukaryota
Description: partial 18S ribosomal RNA
Rfam family: Eukaryotic small subunit ribosomal RNA
Source: RNAcentral